Molecule: ribosomal RNA, 435 nt
Filed under: uncultured Roseburia sp.
Lineage: Bacteria; Bacillati; Bacillota; Clostridia; Lachnospirales; Lachnospiraceae
Description: partial 16S ribosomal RNA
Rfam family: Bacterial small subunit ribosomal RNA
Source: RNAcentral
ACGGAAGGCAGCAGUGGGGAAUAUUGCACAAUGGGCGAAAGCCUGAUGCAGCGACGCCGCGUGAGUGAUGAAGUAUUUCGGUAUGUAAAGCUCUAUCAGCAGGGAAGAAAAAUGACGGUACCUGACUAAGAAGCACCGGCUAAAUACGUGCCAGCAGCCGCGGUAAUACGUAUGGUGCAAGCGUUAUCCGGAUUUACUGGGUGUAAAGGAAGCGCAGGCGGUACGGCAAGUCUGAUGUGAAAGCCCGGGGCUCAACCCCGGUACUGCAUUGGAAACUGUCGAACUAGAGUGUCGGAGGGGUAAGCGGAAUUCCUAGUGUAGCGGUGAAAUGCGUAGAUAUUAGGAGGAACACCAGUGGCGAAGGCGGCUUACUGGACGAUAACUGACGCUGAGGCUCGAAAGCGUGGGGAGCAAACAGGAUUAGAUACCCUGGUA